This 251-nucleotide long non-coding RNA is filed under the name Brassica rapa (field mustard). RNAcentral describes it as "long non-coding RNA (BRAP_LNC005996)". Lineage: Eukaryota; Viridiplantae; Streptophyta; Magnoliopsida; Brassicales; Brassicaceae. The record is from RNAcentral.
AAAUGCAGUAAAAAAAAUGGAAGGCUGAGACCGCUGGGUGACUAACUGCAACCUACCGUUGGAAAAGAAAAACGAUCAGAAACACAGAAAUUUAUAAUUUUAUCAACAAAAAAAAAAUGGGAAAGGAAAUAAAUAUUACAAUGAAAGGAGGCACAUGGGUGUCUGCAUAGAAAAGGAAAAGGAAAUUUGUCUGAAAGUGUCACAGGUACACUCUUUCGAAUUACAUUUGACAACAAUCCAAAUGCUCUUCU